This 481-nucleotide ribosomal RNA is filed under the name uncultured bacterium. RNAcentral describes it as "bacterial SSU rRNA". It matches the Rfam family "Bacterial small subunit ribosomal RNA", at positions 28 to 514 of the family's 1533-position model. The record is from RNAcentral.
GAUAAACGCUGGCGGCGCACAUAAGACAUGCAAGUCGAACGAACUUAACUCAUUCUUUACGAUUGAGAGCGGUUAGUGGCGGACUGGUGAGUAACACGUAAGCAACCUGCCUAUUAGAGGGGAAUAACAGUGAGAAAUCAUUGCUAAUACCGCAUAUGCUCACAGCAACACAUGUUGCAGUGAGGAAAGGAGUAAUCCGCUAAUAGAUGGACUUGCGUCUGAUUAGCUAGUUGGUGGGGUAACGGCCUACCAAGGCGACGAUCAGUAGCCGGACUGAGAGGUUGAACGGCCACAUUGGGACUGAGAUACGGCCCCAGACUCCUACGGGAGGCAGCAGUCGGGGAAUAUUGCGCAAUGGAGGAAACUCUGACGCAGUGACGCCGCGUGCAGGAAGAAGGUUUUCGGAUUGUAAACUGCUUUAGACAGGGAAGAACAAAGACAGUACCUGUAGAAUAAGCUCCGGCUAACUACGUGCCAGCAG